This is a long non-coding RNA of Solenopsis invicta (red fire ant), 583 nucleotides long. RefSeq lists it as uncharacterized. NCBI's taxonomy places the organism in Eukaryota, Metazoa, Arthropoda, Insecta, Hymenoptera, Formicidae. The record is from RefSeq and is a predicted model, not a curated record. The transcript is spliced from 4 exons.
GAUCGGAAUCGAAUUUUGGCUUGUGAAAUUGAUAGUGCGAGAGACGAAAUUAUUCCCUCCAUUUUAAUUCCAUUUUUAUUUCGUUUACAGAACGUGGCGGGCGCGGAACAGAUCGGCUCCGGAACGAGUGCAUGUAGCGUCACGUCUCAUUCAUAUGAAUACGAUGGACACUUUUAUAGGACGAGAAGUGGCUUUGAAAUGAGUGACAUCGUGAUUUUAAUUGAGUACGCGGCGGAUGCAAAAUUGAUUUACUGCAGAAUGAGUAGCUCGUGAUUGAAUUUGACAACUCAGAAGAAGGAAGAAGAAAGAAGGUUUGACAAGAGGUUUCGAAAGAGAAGGAGAGAUAUCGAAUGACGGUGGUACAACUUAGCGAUUCAUCAUAGCUACGUUGCUGACAACUCUACUGUUGCGCAUCGGACAGUGAGUAAAAAUUUUAUUAACGAAUUUAUAAAAAAUGUAUUAAAUUAUAUCAUUGAAUGAUGCAUUAAAUUUAAUUAACUUACAAGUAAAAACUUCAUAGAUUUGUUACCUUAAAAUAGAUAAGUUUUAAAAAAUUAUGAAAGAUACUUAAUUUUGGACUCAG